GCUGGGCGUUGGGAAGAGAGCGCCGCCGGCCGUGGGGGACGGACGCGCUGAUUUGCUCCCCUACUCUCAGCACCCACCACACACCCAGCACCAGAUCCAGGGCCCCAAAACUCUUCUUCCAGCUGAACUCCCUGGGAAUAAGUCAGCUGGGCUGAUCACUGAAUUCACAUUUCUGGAAUUGAGGAGCCUGUACCUCCCACACCUGCACCUGGCUGAGCCGCAGUAGUUCUUCAGUGGCAAGCUUUAUGUCCUGACCCAGCUAAAGCUGCCAGUUGAAGAACUGUUGCCCUCUGCCCCUGGCUUCGAGGAGGAGGAGGAGCUGCUUUCCCCCUCGUCUGGAAGGUGACAUAACGGUCCGGGAAGGUCCAAACAGCAGGAGUGGUGAUGAUAACCUUUCAGGAAAGGGAACCCUGUUCCUCUGAAGAGUCUUCACCUUGACUGGCACAGCCAGACAGCAGUUUUAGAUCAGAAACCCUGACUGAAUUAGGGAAUUGGAUGGCUCUGACUACCCAAGGUCAGUCAGUGUUUGUGUGAUAAUGGGGAGAAGUGGAGCAAAGAAGACCCUGUCUGUCCCUUUAUCCAGAUGUUUUUCUUGACCUUCCUUCCUUAUCCCUCAUUUUUCCCCAUGGUCUUUCCAGGUGGGGUCCAGAAGUAAGCUGUGUCUUGGGGAGCAUUUCAUACUGAAACUCUCCAUCUGAGUAGUCAUGCCCCCACUCUUCACUUUCCCUGUGUUUCCAUAGACUGGUUCACACUCUAGAUUCAGGGAUAUUUAGUGUAUGUGGGACCCUUAGACCCCCUGUCUCAGUUUCUCUGCCUACCCAUGAGGUGGGGAAAUCACCCACUUAAGGGAAUCAGAAGCCCAUCGUGCAGACUCAGAGCUUGGGGUGGGAAGAAAACUGCUUUUCACUUAAGCUGUUGCCCCUCCUCCCUCCCUGACUGUAACCCCAGGAUGUGGGGGUAGGGGUUGGAGAGUUAGAAGAGCUAGUAGAAGCUCAAUCUCUACAUGGACUUUUCAUCAUGCAAAGGUGGCACCAGGUGUCCUCCACUCCCCAAAACAGGACUGCAGCUCCCAUGGGGCUCCAGCUACCACUGCUCUCUUUCCUCACUUCACUUUCCAGGCUAGUGUGUGAGACUCAGCUCAGGCCUGUAUGGGGCAGGAACUACAUGCCCCCCACCCCGGCAACCAGGAAAGCUGAGUUCUGGGACAGAACCCCCCACUUUGGGGCAUCAGACUGUGUAAACCUGCCACCCCCAGCUCCUGAUCCAAUCUCACUCUUUGGCUUGGGCUCUGGUAUGGUUCAGCCUUUGCCCAGUCUCCCUGCCUGAAAGUAGCCAUAUCCUGGGGCUGCAGGAAGCUGUUUGUUCUAUUUGGGGGGAGGAGGUGUACAGGGAGCUGCAUCCUCUUCUCCAUUGAUAAGAAACUGAAAGAUUUAGGGAAAAGUAGAGUGUUGAACCAAGCUCUUGCAGCCUAAGCUGCAUGUGUGUGGGGCUGUAGUAGAAAGGGGUGGGUAGACUGAGUCCACUCAUAGACUUCAACAAAGGUCACUGUAUCCCUGGACAUUGCUGCCAUCCUUUCUUCCCCUCCUCACUUCACUGGCCACAGUAUUUCCCUCCAGCCAUGGAUAUGUGGCUCUGCCAACCUCACCUAUCAUGGAGAAGACAUGAGGACGAGCGGCCUGGGCACACAGAGGCAGGCAGAACUCGAGUGAAGAACAAGGCCCGGAGAGGGCAGGGGCCUGUCAGGGCCAGGCACACCCCAGGAAGAGGGAGGACAGCCACCCUCAGCAAGGGCAAGCUUCCAGCCACCUUCAGUCUGUCUGCCUCCUUCAGAGAUGUGGGGCCAUAUUAAAGUGUCCUGUGGUUUCAUCCUCACCCUUCCACCUCUCCUCCAUCCUAUAAUUUUUAUAUAAGCAGCUUUAAGGAACAAGAGCCAGCUGUGAAAUAUAUAGGAAAUUCAUGAAAAAUUGAAAUGGAUAAAACCAUGGGGGAAAAAAGUGUGCUUCAUUAGUAAUUAAAGAGCAGCAAAUAGAGCUAUAAGCAAUUUUCCCAUAGCAGACUAUAUCAGAAAAAAAUAAGACCUAGUUGUUGGCAAAGGGUACUAAAAUAACACCACCGUACAUUGCAUAUAUGGUAAUACAGAUUGGUACAGUCUUCUUGGAUGCAAGUUUGGUGAUAUGUAUCAAACAUUACCAUGGCCUUUGACCUAGUAAUUAUACACUUGGGAAUUAAUCCUAAGAAAAUAAUGAAAGAUUUAGUUAAAAGGUGUUCAUCCAGCAUUGCAAUAGAGAAAAAUGGGAAGCAACUUUCUGAUUGGGAAUUCAUUUCUGCUGUAAUGAAAAUGUGCAAUAGGGGAUUGCUUAAGUAAAUUAUUGUAUAUCCAUCCAGAUGGUAGAGUGCUGUGCAGCCAUUAACAUCAUGUGGAAGAACAUUUGACUGGAAAGAAAAAUGCUCUUUGAAUACUAAAAAGUUUAUAAAAAUAGUGUAGGUCUUAAUUUUGUUUUUUUAAGAUACAAGUAUGUACUUGCAUAAUACAUAGAUAAAGACUGAGGACAUACUCUGGAAUGUUGAUAUUAGUGGUUAUUUUGAAUGUUGGAAUAAGGUCAUCAUAUUUUCCUUCUGUAAUUUUCCAAGUGUGCUGUAAUUUUUUUUGUAAUUUCCAAAUCUGCUAUAUUAAUUUUGUAUGGCUUUCAUAUAACAAAUAAAAUUGAA
Long non-coding RNA from Artibeus jamaicensis (Jamaican fruit-eating bat), 2709 nucleotides. RefSeq lists it as uncharacterized. The record is from RefSeq and is a predicted model, not a curated record. Lineage: Eukaryota; Metazoa; Chordata; Mammalia; Chiroptera; Phyllostomidae. The transcript is spliced from 3 exons.